CUUUGGGAUAACCCUCGGAAACGGGGGCUAAUACCGGAUAGGACUCCUGCCUGCAUGGGUGGGGGUGGAAAGUUUUUUCGGCUAGGGGUGGGCUCGCGGCCUAUCAGCUUGUUGGUGGGGUGAUGGCCUACCAAGGCGACGACGGGUAGCCGGCCUGAGAGGGCGACCGGCCACACUGGGACUGAGACACGGCCCAGACUCCUACGGGAGGCAGCAGUGGGGAAUAUUGCACAAUGGGCGGAAGCCUGAUGCAGCGACGCCGCGUGAGGGAUGACGGCCUUCGGGUUGUAAACCUCUUUCAGCUCCGACGAAGCGUAAGUGACGGUAGGGGCAGAAGAAGCGCCGGCCAACUACGUGCCAGCAGCCGCGGUAAGACGUAGGGCGCGAGCGUUGUCCGGAUUUAUUGGGCGUAAAGAGCUCGUAGGCGGCUUGUCGCGUCGACUGUGAAAACCCGGGGCUCAACUGCGGGCUUGCAGUCGAUACGGGCAGGCUAGAGUUCGGUAGGGGAGACUGGAAUUCCUGGUGUAGCGGUGAAAUGCGCAGAUAUCAGGAGGAACACCGGUGGCGAAGGCGGGUCUCUGGCCGAUACUGACGCUGAGGAGCGAAAGCGUGGGGAGCGAACAGGAUUAGAUACCCUGGUAGUCCACGCUGUAAACGUUGGGCGC
Molecule: ribosomal RNA, 665 nt
Filed under: uncultured Micromonosporaceae bacterium
Lineage: Bacteria; Bacillati; Actinomycetota; Actinomycetes; Micromonosporales; Micromonosporaceae
Description: bacterial SSU rRNA
Rfam family: Bacterial small subunit ribosomal RNA
Source: RNAcentral